CGGGAGGAGCUAUGGGGCUGGGGGCGGGUCUAUGGGGCCGGGGGCGGGUCCACGGGGCAGCCGUGGGUCACGCGUCCCCCCCCGCCCCACGGCAGGCCCAGGCGGAGCUGUGGGAGCCGCUGUGGUCCCUGCUGAGCGACCUGCGCUUCCUGGGGGCCCACGUGCGCUGGGGGGCCCUGGAGGUCCUGCCCCACAGCCUGGGGCUGCUGCGCGAGGCGCAGCAGCGGGGGGCCGUGGCCGCCGUGGGGCUGGAGGAGGUGGCCGCCGUGGUGGAGGCCACCCUGGAGCUGGCCCAGCAGGAGCUCUAUGCCGUGGGGCAGCGGGAGGAAGCCAACGCGGGGCAGGAAGAAGCCGCCGUGGGGCAGGAGGAGCUCGCCGUGGGGCAGGAGGACCUCACCAUGGGGCAGGAAGACCUUGCCAUGGGGCAGGAGGACCUCGCUGUGGGGCAGGAGGACCUCACCAUGGGGCAGGAGGACCUUGCCAUGGGGCAGGAGGACCUUGCCGUGGGGCAGGACCUCACCAUGGGGCAGGAGGACCUCACCAUGGGGCAGGAAGACCUUGCCAUGGGGCAGGAGGACCUCGCUGUGGGGCAGGAGGACCUCGCCGUGGGGUGGGAGGACCCCGCCGUGGGGCUGCUGGUGGGGCUGGCGCAGGAGGCAGCCAACGCCCCCCCUUCCUGCCCCCUACGCGCCCAAGUCCGGGACCUGCUGCCCCCCGGCCACCGGCUGCUGCUCCGCCCCCUGCCGGAUCCCGGCACCCGCCCCCCGGACAGGUGGGUGCUGCCCCAUAGCGGCCCCGGAGCACCCAUGGGUGUCUUCCCCGGACGCCUGGGCCCCUUUUCCCGGACACCUGGGCCCCUUCCCGGACACCUGGGCCCCUUUUCCCAGACGCCUGGGCCCCUUCCCGGACGCCUGGGCCCCUUUUUCCCGGACUCCUGGGCCCCUUCCCAGACUCCUGGGCCCUUUUCCCGGACGCCUGGGCCCCUUCUUUCCCCCCGGACGCCUGGGCCCCUUCCCAGACACCUGGGUCCCUUCCCGGACGCCUGGGCCCUUUUCCCGGACACCUGGGCCCCUUCCCGGACGCCUGGGCCCCUUUUCCCGGACACCCGGGCCCCUUUCCCAGACACCUGGGCCCCUUUUCCCGGACUCCUGGGCCCCUUCCCGGACACCUGGGCCCCUUUUCCCGGACGCCUGGGCCCUUUUUCCCGGACACCUGGGCCCCUU
This 1223-nucleotide long non-coding RNA is filed under the name Apteryx rowi (Okarito brown kiwi). Its description in RNAcentral is "lncRNA (ENSARWG00000009186.1)". Lineage: Eukaryota; Metazoa; Chordata; Aves; Apterygiformes; Apterygidae. The record is from RNAcentral.